Dioscorea cayenensis subsp. rotundata (Guinea yam) is the source of this 2326-nucleotide RNA transcript. It is a transcript of the gene named F-box/LRR-repeat protein 2, with no coding region annotated. NCBI's taxonomy places the organism in Eukaryota, Viridiplantae, Streptophyta, Magnoliopsida, Dioscoreales, Dioscoreaceae. The transcript is spliced from 4 exons. The record is from RefSeq and is a predicted model, not a curated record.
UCUACAAAGAGAGGUCCCCAAUGCCUCUUCUCCUCCUCGAAGAGCCCUAAUUCUCUCCGAUCCCUCCAAUGGCCGCGCCGGAGGGCGGCCAGAGGAUCGCCAUCAACGACGCCCUCACCGACGACGAGCUUCGCGCAGUGCUGGCAAGGCUUGAACGGGAGGUGGACCGCGAUGCCUUUGGUCUCGUAUGCAAGCGAUGGCUCCAUAUCCAGAGCUCUGAGCGCCGUGUUCUCCGUGCUCGUGCUGGCCAUGCCAUGCUCCUUCGCAUGGCUGAUCGAUUCCCGGGACUCGUCGAGCUCGAUCUUUCACAGUUUGCUUCGCGGUCGUUCUUUCCCGGUGUCACUGAUUCCGAUUUGGGGGCGAUCGCUACUGGAUUUCGAAGUCUCAGGGUGCUCGAUCUCCGUGAAUGUAAAGGUGUCACUGAUGUAGGAAUGAUUUCGUUGGGAACUGGACUUCAUUCACUGCAAUGCUUGAAUGUUUCUGGCUGCAGAAGAGUCACAGACAAAGGAUUGGUAGCUGUUUCAUUGGGCUGUUCCAAUUUGAAAAGCUUGUACCUUGCUAAUUGCAAGCUUGCCACAGAUAAAUUACUUGAAGCCCUUUCAAAGAACUGUCACCACCUAGAAGAGCUGGGUCUUGCUGGAUGUGUUAAGAUAACUGACUCUGGACUCUCAAUUUUAGCUGAUGGUUGUAAGUAUAUCAAGUCUCUGGAUGUUAGCAAGUGCAGCAAAAUUGGUGAUAUUGGAGUCUCAAGGGUAGCAGAAGUAUGUACAUCUUUGAAGAGUCUUAAAUUGUUGGAUUGCGGCAAUGUCACCAAUAAUUCAAUAAUUUCACUGUCUCAGUCAUGUGUAAAUAUUGAAACCCUAGUAAUCAGUGGGUGUCAUAAUGUCUCUGAUGAAUCCAUAAGGUCACUAGCACUUGACUGUGGUCCUAACCUAAAGGUUUUAAGGAUGGAAUGGUGUUCAAAGAUCACAGAUCUGUCUGUGAGCGUUGUUCUCCAAAAUUCCAGAAAUCUUGUCGCUCUUGAUAUUGGUUGCUGUGAUCAUGUAACAGAUUCUGCUUUUCAAGCUCUGGGAAUCAGUGGCACAUCAGGUUUGCGUGUUUUGAAGAUCAGUAAUUGCCCAAGGAUCACAGUUUCAGGAAUUGAUACCAUCUUACAAUCCUGCAAAUCUUUGGAGUACCUUGAUGUGAGGUCUUGCCAGCAUGUUACUAAACAAAGUUGCUACCAAGCGGGGUUGCAGUUUUCUGAAGGUUGCAAAGUAAACUUCAAUGGAAGUUUGUCAGAGUCAGAUAGCUUGGAUGAGACUUACUUCUAAAUCUGGACCUGGAUGACAAAGUUCUCACCCUCUUGAUUAUGGCAGGUACUGAAGUGCGAGUAUCCUGAUGAUCCGGCUACUGGUUAUCUUGAUUUAUUGAACUGAAAAUGCCAAUUGUGUGAUCCUUAGUUCAAUGUUCCCCAUGAUGUUCAAAUUCCAGGGGACACUGUUCUGCAUAAAUUUGUUUUUGUUGGAUACCUCCUACAAAAAUAAUGAAUCAUCUCUUGUUUAUAUUCAAUCUUUGAAGCAGAAUGUCUAUCUAUUCUUGACCAGAUGAAAGUUUUCAAUUAACCAUUAUUUUAGAAUGAACCCAAAACUGGUAAUCUUCUAAUGACGAGGGGAUGUUUUGUCUGAGAUACAAUUGAUGUGAAGAAGAAAGUAAUUUUCCAUUAGUCAUCAGAAAUUCAAAAACAUUUAGAAUUAGGACCACGUGGAAGUCAUAAUUGACAGUAUCUUAUUGUCCUUUUUUUUUUGUUAGAUCAUGCAUUCAGAAACUGAUGAAGCCUACCACCUUGGCAACGUCUGAUCCACCUGCCAUUUAAGCAGCAACUACCAACAAUGAAGCCAUACCUACCAAAUAAUUGGAUCUGAAGAUGUCACUGAGUUUACAGGGAUACCGAUAACACUCAUUUUCGAAUUGCCUCUCUUUGUUCUUCAAAAUAAUCAGCAAUGUUUAAUCUUAUAUAUCAAAGUAACAAACUUGAGAAGCACUGAACCAUGACUUUAUGCUACAAAGUCAUCGGCAUCUUAUCGGGAAUAAAGGUGCACAGAUUUAUAUGUUUUUAUCAAUAUUUAUUAAUAUUAACAUGAAAGUGUAAAAGAAAAAGGUGAAUUUUCUUUGUUUUGCUUCAUGGAAAGGGAUGUGAUUUUCACAUCAAAUUGAUUAAUUAAUGUUUGCUUGUAUACCUAAUAAUAUGAUAUUCUUUUCUUUGUGCUUGUGUGGAAGGAUAUGAUGAUGUAUGCCCUUCACUUUUAGAAGAUAGACAAGAUGAGCAUCUAACUUUCAAGUAAGU